Molecule: ribosomal RNA, 447 nt
Filed under: uncultured bacterium
Lineage: Bacteria
Description: bacterial SSU rRNA
Rfam family: Bacterial small subunit ribosomal RNA
Source: RNAcentral
UUCCAGACUCCUACGGGAGGCAGCAGUGGGGGAUAUUGCACAAUGGGGGGAACCCUGAUGCAGCGACGCCGCGUGGGUGAAGGAGUGCUUCGGCAUGUAAAGCCCUAUCGGCAGGGAAGAAGCAAGACGGUACCUGACUAAGAAGCCCCGGCUAACUACGUGCCAGCAGCCGCGGUAAUACGGAGGGUGCGAGCGUUAAUCGGAAUUACUGGGCGUAAAGCGCUCGUAGGCGGUAUGUCAAGUCAAGGGUGAAAUCCCCGCGCUCAACGUGGGAACUGCCUUUGAAACUGGCAAACUGGAGUGUGUGAGAGGAUAGUGGAAUUCCAGGUGUAGGAGUGAAAUCCGUAGAUAUCUGGAGGAACAUCAGUGGCGAAGGCGACUAUCUGGCACAUAACUGACGCUGAGGAGCGAAAGCGUGGGUAGCAAACAGGAUUAGAUACCCUAGUA